UCAUUACCGAGUUCCAGCAACUCCCAACCCUUGCGAACCGUACCCCAGUCUGUUCUCGUUGCUUCCGGCGGGGCCGGGCAGGCGGGCGCGGGAGGCGGGGGGGCCUAAUCGCCCCGCCGCCUUCCUCUCCCCUCCUGCCCGCCCGCCGGGGGCGGCGGGCCCUCUGAACCUUUUUUAUCUCAACCACCGAAGCCUUCUGAGCAAAAACACAAAAAUGAAUCAAAACUUUCAACAACGGAUCUCUUGGUUCUGGCAUCGAUGAAGAACGCAGCGAAAUGCGAUACGUAAUGUGAAUUGCAGAAUUCAGCGAACCAUCGAAUCUUUGAACGCACAUUGCGCCUGCCAGUAUUCUGGCAGGCAUGCCUGUCCGAGCGUCAUUUCCCCCCUCACGCGCCCCGUUGCGCGCUGGUGUUGGGGCUCCUCCGCCUGGCGGAGGGCCCCGAAAGCGAGUGGCGGGCCCGGCUGGUUGGCUCCGAGCGCAGUACCGAACGCACCGUUCUCCCCUCGCUCAGCAGCCCCGCCGGCGCCCUGCCAGCAAAACAGAGACAAGCUCUCUUUUUUUACAAGGUU
Molecule: ribosomal RNA, 570 nt
Filed under: Sporothrix fumea
Lineage: Eukaryota; Fungi; Ascomycota; Sordariomycetes; Ophiostomatales; Ophiostomataceae
Description: eukaryotic LSU rRNA
Rfam family: 5.8S ribosomal RNA (bases 224-377)
Source: RNAcentral